AAUGAUGAAAUAACAUGAGGGGUCUUACAAGCAAGAUAGAUCUUUUGGUCCUUAGAGAGUUUAUUGCCCAAUAACUGGUAAUAAUCUUCUCGGUGUUGAGUACUUUACUUGUGUUAAUUUACCUAGUAACUAGUAAAAGGUAAUUUACUUCAUUUUUUUUCUCCAGCGGAUUCGUUCUUGUUUCCUCGGCAAGUCUAUCCUUGAUAUGUUCAUCUUAACCGAUGAUGGAUAUUCUUCCUAUUUGUGGUAUUUUACCCAGUAAAAAGGUAGUUGUAAUUCC
This 280-nucleotide long non-coding RNA is filed under the name Lathyrus oleraceus (garden pea). RNAcentral's name for it is "Pisum sativum (pea) long non-coding RNA (PSAT_LNC036297)". The record is from RNAcentral. Lineage: Eukaryota; Viridiplantae; Streptophyta; Magnoliopsida; Fabales; Fabaceae.